Molecule: ribosomal RNA, 164 nt
Filed under: uncultured bacterium
Lineage: Bacteria
Description: partial 16S ribosomal RNA
Rfam family: Bacterial small subunit ribosomal RNA
Source: RNAcentral
UAGGGAAUCUUCCACAAUGGGCGAAAGCCUGAUGGAGCAACGCCGCGUGUGUGAUGAAGGGUUUCGGCUCGUAAAACACUGUUGUAAGAGAAGAAUGACAUUGAGAGUAACUGUUCAAUGUGUGACGGUAUCUUACCAGAAAGGAACGGNUAAAUACGUACCAG